This 253-nucleotide ribosomal RNA is filed under the name uncultured bacterium. Its description in RNAcentral is "partial 16S ribosomal RNA". It matches the Rfam family "Bacterial small subunit ribosomal RNA", at positions 524 to 776 of the family's 1533-position model. The record is from RNAcentral.
UACGUAGGGUGCAAGCGUUGUCCGGAAUUAUUGGGCGUAAAGAGCUCGUAGGCGGUUUGUCGCGUCUGCCGUGAAAGUCCGGGGCUCAACUCCGGAUCUGCGGUGGGUACGGGCAGACUAGAGUGAUGUAGGGGAGACUGGAAUUCCUGGUGUAGCGGUGAAAUGCGCAGAUAUCAGGAGGAACACCGGUGGCGAAGGCGGGUCUCUGGGCCGACACUGACGCUGAGGAGCGAAAGCGUGGGGAGCGAACAGG